CCGAGUUCAUGCCCCUCGCGGGUAGAUCUCCCACCCUGUGCUAUUUUUGCCUCUGUUGCUUUGGCGGGCCGCCAGGCCCUUGAGCCCUAGGCUACCGGCCCCCCGGCUGGUACGCGCCCGCCGGAGACCCCUAAAACUCUGAAUGUUAGUGUCGUCCGAGCAUUAUCUGGAAUCGUUCA
RNAcentral lists this unclassified non-coding RNA (179 nucleotides) under uncultured Helotiales. RNAcentral's name for it is "sequence contains ITS1". The record is from RNAcentral. Lineage: Eukaryota; Fungi; Ascomycota; Leotiomycetes; Helotiales.